This 1343-nucleotide ribosomal RNA is filed under the name uncultured bacterium. RNAcentral describes it as "16S ribosomal RNA". It matches the Rfam family "Bacterial small subunit ribosomal RNA", at positions 28 to 1378 of the family's 1533-position model. The record is from RNAcentral.
GACGAACGCUGGCGGCGUGCUUAACACAUGCAAGUCGAACGGAAAGGCCCUGCUUUUGUGGGGUGCUCGAGUGGCGAACGGGUGAGUAACACGUGAGUAACCUGCCCUUGACUUUGGGAUAACUUCAGGAAACUGGGGCUAAUACCGGAUAGGAGCUCCUGCUGCAUGGUGGGGGUUGGAAAGUUUCGGCGGUUGGGGAUGGACUCGCGGCUUAUCAGCUUGUUGGUGGGGUAGUGGCUUACCAAGGCUUUGACGGGUAGCCGGCCUGAGAGGGUGACCGGCCACAUUGGGACUGAGAUACGGCCCAGACUCCUACGGGAGGCAGCAGUGGGGAAUAUUGCACAAUGGGCGGAAGCCUGAUGCAGCAACGCCGCGUGCGGGAUGACGGCCUUCGGGUUGUAAACCGCUUUCGCCUGUGACGAAGCGUGAGUGACGGUAAUGGGUAAAGAAGCACCGGCUAACUACGUGCCAGCAGCCGCGGUGAUACGUAGGGUGCGAGCGUUGUCCGGAUUUAUUGGGCGUAAAGGGCUCGUAGGUGGUUGAUCGCGUCGGAAGUGUAAUCUUGGGGCUUAACCCUGAGCGUGCUUUCGAUACGGGUUGACUUGAGGAAGGUAGGGGAGAAUGGAAUUCCUGGUGGAGCGGUGGAAUGCGCAGAUAUCAGGAGGAACACCAGUGGCGAAGGCGGUUCUCUGGGCCUUUCCUGACGCUGAGGAGCGAAAGCGUGGGGAGCGAACAGGCUUAGAUACCCUGGUAGUCCACGCUGUAAACGGUGGGUACUAGGCGUGGGGUCCAUUCCACGGGUUCCGUGCCGUAGCUAACGCCUUAAGUACCCCGCCUGGGGAGUACGGCCGCAAGGCUAAAACUCAAAGGAAUUGACGGGGCCCCGCACAAGCGGCGGAGCAUGCGGAUUAAUUCGAUGCAACGCGUAGAACCUUACCUGGGUUUGACAUGGAUCGGGAGUGCUCAGAGAUGGGUGUGCCUCUUUUGGGGUCGGUUCACAGGUGGUGCAUGCCUGUCGUCAGCUCGUGUCGUGAGAUGUUGGGUUAAGUCCCGCAACGAGCGCAACCCUUGUUCACUGUUGCCAGCACGUUAUGGUGGGGACUCAGUGGAGACCGCCGGGGUCAACUCGGAGGAAGGUGGGGAUGACGUCAAGUCAUCAUGCCCCUUAUGUCCAGGGCUUCACGCAUGCUACAAUGGCUGGUACAGAGAGUGGCGAGCCUGUGAGGGUGAGCGAAUCUCGGAAAGCCGGUCUCAGUUCGGAUUGGGGUCUGCAACUCGACCUCAUGAAGUCGGAGUCGCUAGUAAUCGCAGAUCAGCAACGCUGCGGUGAAUACGUUCCCGGG